Molecule: ribosomal RNA, 497 nt
Filed under: uncultured bacterium
Lineage: Bacteria
Description: partial 16S ribosomal RNA
Rfam family: Bacterial small subunit ribosomal RNA
Source: RNAcentral
GAUGAACGCUGGCGGCGUGCCUAAUACAUGCAAGUCGAGCGAACAGACGAGGAGCUUGCUCCUCUGACGUUAGCGGCGGACGGGUGAGUAACACGUGGAUAACCUACCUAUAAGACUGGGAUAACUUCGGGAAACCGGAGCUAAUACCGGAUAAUAUAUUGAACCGCAUGGUUCAAUAGUGAAAGACGGUUUUGCUGUCACUUAUAGAUGGAUCCGCGCCGCAUUAGCUAGUUGUUAAGGUAACGGCCUACCAAGGCGACGAUGCGUAGCCGACCUGAGAGGGUGAUCGGCCACACUGGACCUGAGACACGGUCAAGACGCCUACGGGAGGCAGCAGUAGGGAAUCUUCCGCAAUGGGCGAAAGCCUGACGGAGCAACGCCGCGUGAGUGAUGAAGGUCUUCGGAUCGUAAAACUCUGUUAUUAGGGAAGAACAAAUGUGUAAGUAACUAUGCACGUCUUGACGGUACCUAAUCAGAAAGCCACGGCUAACUACGUG